GACGAACGCUGGCGGCGUGCUUAACACAUGCAAGUCGAACGGAAAGGCCCUGCUUUUGCGGGGUGCUCGAGUGGCGAACGGGUGAGUAACACGUGAGUAACCUGCCCUUGACUUUGGGAUAACUUCAGGAAACUGGGGCUAAUACCGGAUAGGAGCUCCUGCUGCAUGGUGGGGGUUGGAAAGUUUCGGCGGUUGGGGAUGGACUCGCGGCUUAUCAGCUUGUUGGUGGGGUAGUGGCUUACCAAGGCUUUGACGGGUAGCCGGCCUGAGAGGGUGACCGGCCACAUUGGGACUGAGAUACGGCCCAGACUCCUACGGGAGGCAGCAGUGGGGAAUAUUGCACAAUGGGCGGAAGCCUGAUGCAGCAACGCCGCGUGCGGGAUGACGGCCUUCGGGUUGUAAACCGCUUUCGCCUGCGACGAAGCGUGAGUGACGGUAAUGGGUAAAGAAGCACCGGCUAACUACGUG
RNAcentral lists this ribosomal RNA (468 nucleotides) under uncultured bacterium. RNAcentral's name for it is "partial 16S ribosomal RNA". It matches the Rfam family "Bacterial small subunit ribosomal RNA", at positions 28 to 507 of the family's 1533-position model. The record is from RNAcentral.